GCCUCCACUUGUUGAUAUGUGAACUUGUGAUAGUGAAAUUAAUCCAAACUACGAGAGGGUGAGAACUAAAGCUAGGUAAACUCAUAAUUUUUAAACACAACCCUGGGAUAAUUGAGUGAAAAGAAUAAGUUUGGGGGGUUGUGUAUCUCUCGAGCGAGUAAGGAGACAUUUGACCACUUGGGGUCGGGACUCAAACUCAUCAUGAACUUGAUAUGUUAGCAUGAAUCCACACACACACACGUCAAGUAUGCACUUAACAGGUGAAGGUUGAUGUUAUCUUGCACUGAUAAAUUUUCAUAAAAUCAAUUACUUAGUCCAAUCCUGAGCCAAGGCAAGGUGUUAAGCCAUGUUUGUUCAGAAUUAUAUCACUAUCUUGUUUGAGGACAAACAAUAGUUCAAGUUUGGGGGGUUUGAUAAGUGUGUUUUUGCACACUUAUUUACAUCACAAACAUGACUUAAAUACAGGUAAAUUGAUUUAAUUGUUACUUAACCUUGUCAAAUUCAUGCAAUGUAGGAAAUCCUAUGGAAAUAGUGGAAUUCAGGAGAAAAGAGCCGAAAAAGGACCAAAUUGAAGCAAAGAGAAAAUUCAGGGACCAAAUUGCAAUUAUCUGAAAGUUGAUCCGAUGAACACAUCAAACAAUUGAUCAAGCCAAGCACCAAUUGGAAGUUAUAAGGGACCAUUGGAGCAACUAGGAACAAAAGAGGAGGUCAAGGAGUGAAGGAAUGAAACUUGAGGACCAAAAUGACUCAAACAAAAAAGUAACUCCACUAUGCGGUCGCAUAGUAUAAAACCUAUGCGACCGCGAGUGAACCUCCAAGGAUUAAAAAGG
RNAcentral lists this long non-coding RNA (830 nucleotides) under Olea europaea subsp. europaea. Lineage: Eukaryota; Viridiplantae; Streptophyta; Magnoliopsida; Lamiales; Oleaceae. The record is from RNAcentral.